CCUACGGGAGGCAGCAGUGAGGAAUAUUGGUCAAUGGGCUUACGCCUGAACCAGCCAAGUCGCGUGAGGGAAGACUGCCCUAUGGGUUGUAAACUUCUUUUGUCAGGGAGUAACGCCGGCCACGUGUACCUGGUCUGAGAGUACCUGUAGAAAAAGCAUCGGCAAACUCCGUGCCAGAAGCCGCGGUAAUACGGAGGAUGCGAGCGUUAUCCAGAUUUAUUGGGUUUAAGGGGUGCGUAAGCGGAAUGCCAAGUCAGCGGUAAAAUCGGGGGGCUCAACCUCGCACCGCAGUUGAAACUGGCGUUCUUGAGUGGACGUGAGGUAUGCGGAAUGCGUGGUGUAGCGGUGAAAUGCAUAGAUAUCACGCAGAACUCCGAUUGCGAAGGCAGCAUACCGGCGCCCAACUGACGCUGAAGCACGAAAGCGUGGGUAUCGAACAGGAUUAGAUACCCGAGUAGUC
RNAcentral lists this ribosomal RNA (460 nucleotides) under uncultured bacterium. RNAcentral's name for it is "partial 16S ribosomal RNA". It matches the Rfam family "Bacterial small subunit ribosomal RNA", at positions 338 to 795 of the family's 1533-position model. The record is from RNAcentral.